RNAcentral lists this ribosomal RNA (894 nucleotides) under Myxotrichum sp. Its description in RNAcentral is "partial large subunit ribosomal RNA". It matches the Rfam family "Eukaryotic large subunit ribosomal RNA", at positions 39 to 956 of the family's 3401-position model. Lineage: Eukaryota; Fungi; Ascomycota; Leotiomycetes; Myxotrichaceae. The record is from RNAcentral.
CCUUUUUUUCUUAUACGAGAAAGAACCAACAGGGAUGCCUCAGUACGGGCGAGUGAAGCGGCAACAGCUCAAAUUUGAAAUCUGGCUCCUUCGGGGCCCGAGUUGUAAUUUGGAGAAGAUGCUUCGGGGGUGGUCCCGGCCUAAGUUCCUUGGAACAGGACGUCACAGAGGGUGAGAAUCCCGUACGUGGCCGGUGGCCGCUCCCAUGUGAAGCUCUUUCGACGAGUCGAGUUGUUUGGGAAUGCAGCUCAAAAUGGGUGGUAAAUUUCAUCUAAAGCUAAAUAUUGGCCAGAGACCGAUAGCGCACAAGUAGAGUGAUCGAAAGAUGAAAAGCACUUUGGAAAGAGAGUUAAACAGUACGUGAAAUUGUUGAAAGGGAAGCGCUUGCAACCAGACUUGCGCGCGGUUGAUCAUCCGGUGCUCGCACCGGUGCACUCGACCACGCGCAGGCCAGCAUCGGUUUGGGCGGCUGGACAAAGGCCCUAGGAACGUAGCCCCUCUCGGGGGGUGUUAUAGACUAGGGCGCAAUGCAGCCUGCCCGGACCGAGGACCGCGCUCCGGCUAGGAUGCUGGCGUAAUGGUUGUCAGCGACCCGUCUUGAAACACGGACCAAGGAGUCUAACAUCUAUGCGAGUGUUUGGGUGCCAAACCCAUACGCGUAAUGAAAGUGAACGGAGGUGAGAGCCCUUAAGGGUGCAUCAUCGACCGAUCCUGAUGUCUUCGGAUGGAUUUGAGUAAGAGCAUAGCUGUUGGGACCCGAAAGAUGGUGAACUAUGCCUGAAUAGGGUGAAGCCAGAGGAAACUCUGGUGGAGGCUCGCAGCGGUUCUGACGUGCAAAUCGAUCGUCAAAUUUGGGCAUAGGGGCGAAAGACAAUCGACCUCUAUAUGCGCGCC